AAAAUCAAAAGAAAAAUAAAAAUAAAAAGAUAAAAGUAAGAUGUCAAAAACAUGACAUUUAAAAAAAAAGAGAAAGAAGAAAGAAAAUAAUAUGACCAAAAUUAAGAAAACUCUCUAGUACCCAAUACUAAAGAACGAGUGAUAUGAAAGGAAGAAUGUAACAUAAGGAGAAAUAUGUACUUAACUCCAAGGUUUAAGCUUAAUAUCCCAAAAUUAUCCUACCCAGACAUAAG
RNAcentral lists this long non-coding RNA (233 nucleotides) under Lathyrus oleraceus (garden pea). RNAcentral's name for it is "Pisum sativum (pea) long non-coding RNA (PSAT_LNC021746)". Lineage: Eukaryota; Viridiplantae; Streptophyta; Magnoliopsida; Fabales; Fabaceae. The record is from RNAcentral.